UACGUGGGGUGCAAGCGUUAUCCGGAUUUACUGGGCGUAAAGCGUACCGUCGGCGGUUUUUCAAGUCUCUUGUUUAAGCCCAAGGCUCAACUUUGGACAAGCAAGAGAAACUGAUAAACUUGAAUCUGUUCGGGGUAGUUGGAAUUCUCGGUGGAGGGGUGAAAUCCGUAGAUAUCGAGAGGAACGCCAAUCGCGUAGGCAGACUACUAGGACAAGAUUGACGCUCAGGGACGACAGCUAGGGUAGCCAAGCGG
Molecule: ribosomal RNA, 254 nt
Filed under: uncultured bacterium
Lineage: Bacteria
Description: partial 16S ribosomal RNA
Rfam family: Bacterial small subunit ribosomal RNA
Source: RNAcentral